RNAcentral lists this ribosomal RNA (1452 nucleotides) under uncultured organism. RNAcentral describes it as "16S ribosomal RNA". It matches the Rfam family "Bacterial small subunit ribosomal RNA". The record is from RNAcentral.
GGCUCAGAUUGAACGCUGGCGGCAGGCCUAACACAUGCAAGUCGAACGGUAACAGAAAGCAGCUUGCUGCUUUGCUGACGAGUGGCGGACGGGUGGGUAAUGUCUGGGAAACUGCCCGAUGGAGGGGGAUAACUACUGGAAACGGUAGCUAAUACCGCAUAACGUCGCAAGACCAAAGAGGGGGACCUUCGGGCCUCUUGCCAUCGGAUGUGCCCAGAUGGGAUUAGCUAGUAGGUGGGGUAACGGCUCACCUAGGCGACGAUCCCUAGCUGGUCUGAGAGGAUGACCAGCCACACUGGAACUGAGACACGGUCCAGACUCCUACGGGAGGCAGCAGUGGGGAAUAUUGCACAAUGGGCGCAAGCCUGAUGCAGCCAUGCCGCGUGUAUGAAGACGGCCUUCGGGUUGUAAAGUACUUUCAGCGGGGAGGAAGGGAGUAAAGUUAAUACCUUUGCUCAUUGACGUUACCCGCAGAAGAAGCACCGGCUAACUCCGUGCCAGCAGCCGCGGUAAUACGGAGGGUGCAAGCGUUAAUCGGAAUUACUGGGCGUAAAGCGCACGCAGGCGGUUUGUUAAGUCAGAUGUGAAAUCCCCGGGCUCAACCUGGGAACUGCAUCUGAUACUGGCAAGCUUGAGUCUCGUAGAGGGGGGUAGAAUUCCAGGUGUAGCGGGAAAAUGAGUAGAGAUCUGGAGGAAAUACCGGGGGCGAAGGGGGCCCCCUGGACGAAGACUGACGCUCAGGUGCGAAAAGCGUGGGGGAGCAAACAGGAUUAGAUACCCUGGUAGUCCACGCCGUAAACGAUGUCGACUUGGAGGUUGUGCCCUUGAGGCGUGGCUUCCGGAGCUAACGCGUUAAGUCGACCGCCUGGGGAGUACGGCCGCAAGGUUAAAACUCAAAUGAAUCGACGGGGGCCCGCACAAGCGGUGGAGCAUGUGGUUUAAUUCGAUGCAACGCGAAGAACCUUACCUGGUCUUGACAUCCACGGAAGUUUUCAGAGAUGAGAAUGUGCCUUCGGGAACCGUGAGACAGGUGCUGCAUGGCUGUCGUCAGCUCGUGUUGUGAAAUGUUGGGUUAAGUCCCGCAACGAGCGCAACCCUUAUCCUUUGUUGCCAGCGGUCCGGCCGGGAACUCAAAGGAGACUGCCAGUGAUAAACUGGAGGAAGGUGGGGAUGACGUCAAGUCAUCAUGGCCCUUACGACCAGGGCUACACACGUGCUACAAUGGCGCAUACAAAGAGAAGCGACCUCGCGAGAGCAAGCGGACCUCAUAAAGUGCGUCGUAGUCCGGAUUGGAGUCUGCAACUCGACUCCAUGAAGUCGGAAUCGUUAGUAAUCGUGGAUCAGAAUGCCACGGUGAAUACGUUCCCGGGCCUUGUACACACCGCCCGUCACACCAUGGGAGUGGGUUGCAAAAGAAGUAGGUAGCUUAACCUUCGGGAGGGCGCUUACCAC